RNAcentral lists this ribosomal RNA (526 nucleotides) under uncultured bacterium. RNAcentral describes it as "bacterial SSU rRNA". It matches the Rfam family "Bacterial small subunit ribosomal RNA", at positions 791 to 1322 of the family's 1533-position model. The record is from RNAcentral.
UAGUCCACGCUGUAAACGAUGAUUACUAGAUGUUCGGAUUUCGGUCUGAGUGUCCAAGCGAAAGUGAUAAGUAUCCCACCUGGGGAGUACGUUCGCAAGAAUGAAACUCAAAGGAAUUGACGGGGGCCCGCACAAGCGGUGGAGCAUGUGGUUUAAUUCGAUGAUACGCGAGGAACCUUACCAGGGCUUAAAUGCAUUACGACAGGUCUAGAGAUAGAUUUUCCUUCGGGCGUUUUGCAAGGUGCUGCAUGGUUGUCGUCAGCUCGUGCCGUGAGGUGUCAGGUUAAGUCCUAUAACGAGCGCAACCCCUGCCGUUAGUUGCCAGCAUGUAAUGGUGGGGACUCUAACGGGACUGCCGGUACAAACCGUGAGGAAGGUGGGGACGACGUCAAAUCAUCACGGCCCUUACGUCCUGGGCCACACACGUGCUACAAUGGCCGGUACAGCGGGAAGGCCAUGCGGUAACGCAGAGCGGAUCCACAAAACCGGUCACAGUUCGGAUCGGGGUCUGCAACUCGACCCCGCG